GAUCCUGCUCAGGAUGAACGCUGGCGGCGUGCUUAACACAUGCAAGUCGAGCGAAGCACUUUGGUUUGAUUCUUCGGAUGAAGACCUUUGUGACUGAGCGGCGGACGGGUGAGUAACGCGUGGGUAACCUGCCUCAUACAGGGGGAUAACAGUUAGAAAUGACUGCUAAUACCGCAUAAGACCACGGUACCGCAUGGUACAGUGGUAAAAACUCCGGUGGUAUGAGAUGGACCCGCGU
This 238-nucleotide ribosomal RNA is filed under the name uncultured bacterium. Its description in RNAcentral is "partial 16S ribosomal RNA". It matches the Rfam family "Bacterial small subunit ribosomal RNA", at positions 15 to 236 of the family's 1533-position model. The record is from RNAcentral.